RNAcentral lists this long non-coding RNA (1717 nucleotides) under Bactrocera latifrons. Its description in RNAcentral is "uncharacterized LOC108972076". Lineage: Eukaryota; Metazoa; Arthropoda; Insecta; Diptera; Tephritidae. The record is from RNAcentral.
AAUUCUUAACAAAAUGGAAAAUGUGAACACAGUUUUUGAGUACAACAUUAUAGCAGGGUUUAGAAAAAAUAGUAAACUUUUGUAUAUUGAAAAGGAAGAACAAAUCUAUAAACAUAAAUAUACAAGUAGAAAUAUUAAAUACUAUUAUUGUUACAAUAAGAACUGUAAAGUUGGCGUUGCAGUUGAUUUCAACAACCUCCUGAUUCAUUGUCGUAAAAUUAAAAACUCAAAUUCAGUCCAUGGUCAUAAAAACACAAAAUAUAUUGUUUGAAAAGUUGAAAAUAAUAAAUGCGAUCAAAAGUGAGGUCAAAAUGCCACUUUAAAAAGAACUAGUGUUCGUUAAAUAUUUGACAAAUUGUGCAAAAAGCAUAUAUCAUCCGCACAUUUAGUGGAGUUUGGUUCAAUGCGUAGAGAUUUGUUUGAAAUAAAACACGAAAAAUAUCCCAAACAACCUACCACAUCAUGGAUAUGUUUACAAAUGAAGAAGUUCAAAAACAAUUCGCUAUGUCCAGAUUUGAUCCAAAAAGACAAUUUACAUAGACACAAUUAUAGAGAAAGACUUUUCAUACGCUUUGUUUAUUUCACCGACUAUUUCUAAUGCUAUAACCAAAAUGAGUGGCUCUGAAGGAAGCAGUUAUAUUAUUGAUGGAACUUUUAGUAGUGUACCAUUUUCUAAACAGUUUAAACAAUUGCUCAUAAUACACCUAAUUCACGCAGAUCACGCGUAUCCGUUUAUUUACAUAUGUGCUGAUGUCAUCAAAAUCCGAGGCAGCAUACGUACAUCUACUAAAAUAUAUACAAUCCAAUGUGUUGGAUCUGCAUCCAAAGUCAAUACUUACUGAUUAUGAAGCCAGCAUGCGUAAUGCUUUCAAAUGUGUAUACUCAGAAGUAAAAGCGAUCGGAUGUUGGUUCCAUUGCACAAACGUUCUUCGGCGAAAAGCAUCUAAAAUUUCUAAUUUCAUUACAAAAUGAAAUAGAAAUAAAGGAGCCAAAGCAUUAUUCUCAAAAUGUCUCUAUUUACCGUUGCUGAAACCUAAAGAUAUUGAGAAUGCUUAUGCCAUUUUAGAAAGUAUGGGUGAAAAUCUGUGUACAGGAAACAAGACUGAAAGCUUUUUCGGUCCUUUCAUAAAAUACUUCAAAUGUCAGUGGAUGGUAAAAGAAAAACCGGUCAAUUUUACAGUAUAUAACGAACUCAUGAGGACUACUAACUGUGCGGAAAGUUUUCAUAGCCGUUUAAACAUAAAGCUUCCGAAGCGUGGUAAUAUUUUCAAGUUUUUGGACACACUUAGAAAUAGAUUCGGAGAAAUGUUGUGAUUUUUCAAAAUCAACUUCCGGCUGCAGCUGCAAAAUCAAUAUGUUAUCGACGUGACUGUUAUAUAAAGCAAAAUCUCGGCUUAUUGAAACAAAAAAAAAAAAAAAACAUUAAUGGGAAUUCUCACACAGUUUUAACAUAUGAAAAACUGUUUGGGUGCAGAAGAUUUCAUAAAUGAGCUUCACACUUCUGACGAUGAUGAAUCCAACAACGAUGAAGCAAGUGGAGAAGGAAGCUUAAACACAACAAAGCCUCUUAUGUAUAAUAUGUUGCGAAAGGGAAAGGCAGCUUCUUUUCAACCCGUGCAAACAUUACACUGUUUGUCAAGAUUGUUAUAAUCAUAUGAAAAAUAGAAAUGAUUCGUUAGGCAUAAAAACAUUAUGUCCAAUUUGCAGAGCGAUUAUU